AUACGGGGGGAGCAAGCGUUGUUCGGAAUUACUGGGCGUAAAGGGCGCGUAGGCGGCCUUGUAAGUCGGGUGUGAAAUGCCGGGGCUCAACUCCGAGCACUGCACCUGAUACUGCUUGGCUAGAGAGAGGUAGAGGCGAGCGGAAUUCCCGGUGUAGCGGUGGAAUGCGUAGAUAUCGGGAAGAACAUCUGCGGCGAAGGCGGCUCGCUGGGCCUCAUCUGACGCUGAAGCGCGAAAGCGUGGGGAGCAAACAGGAUUAGAUACCCCAGUAGUCC
Molecule: ribosomal RNA, 275 nt
Filed under: uncultured bacterium
Lineage: Bacteria
Description: partial 16S ribosomal RNA
Rfam family: Bacterial small subunit ribosomal RNA
Source: RNAcentral